Transfer RNA from Camelus ferus (Wild Bactrian camel), 72 nucleotides. It matches the Rfam family "tRNA". Rfam says of the family: Transfer RNA (tRNA) molecules are approximately 80 nucleotides in length. Their secondary structure includes four short double-helical elements and three loops (D, anti-codon, and T loops). The record is from Rfam. NCBI's taxonomy places the organism in Eukaryota, Metazoa, Chordata, Mammalia, Artiodactyla, Camelidae.
GAGGGUAGAGCUCAGUGGUAGAGCGCGUGCUUAGCAUGCAUGAGGUCCUGGGUUCAAUCCCCAGUACCUCCA